This 365-nucleotide ribosomal RNA is filed under the name Promicromonospora sp. ATCA08. Its description in RNAcentral is "bacterial SSU rRNA". It matches the Rfam family "Bacterial small subunit ribosomal RNA", at positions 985 to 1350 of the family's 1533-position model. The record is from RNAcentral. Lineage: Bacteria; Bacillati; Actinomycetota; Actinomycetes; Micrococcales; Promicromonosporaceae.
UCNGUCGAGAACGCCCCAGAGAUGGGGUUCUCUUUGGACACUCGUAUACAGGUGGUGCAUGGNUUGUCGUCAGCUCGUGUCGUGAGAUGUUGGGUUAAGUCCCGCAACGAGCGCAACCCUUGUCUCAUGUUGCCAGCGGGUUAUGCCGGGGACUCAUGGGAGACUGCCGGGGUCAACUCGGAGGAAGGUGGGGAUGACGUCAAAUCAUCAUGCCCCUUAUGUCUUGGGCUUCACGCAUGCUACAAUGGCCGGUACAGAGGGCUGCGAUACCGUGAGGUGGAGCGAAUCCCAAAAAGCCGGUCUCAGUUCGGAUCGGGGUCUGCAACUCGACCCCGUGAAGUCGGAGUCGCUAGUAAUCGCAGAUC